Molecule: ribosomal RNA, 253 nt
Filed under: uncultured bacterium
Lineage: Bacteria
Description: partial 16S ribosomal RNA
Rfam family: Bacterial small subunit ribosomal RNA
Source: RNAcentral
UACGAAGGGGGCUAGCGUUGCUCGGAAUCACUGGGCGUAAAGCGCACGUAGGCGGCUUUGUAAGUCAGUGGUGAAAUAUGGCAGCUCAACUGUCAAGGUGCCAUUGAUACUGCGGAGCUUGAGUACAGAUGAGGUAGGCGGAAUUGACGGUGUAGCGGUGAAAUGCUUAGAUAUCGUCAAGAACACCUAUAGCGAAGGCAGCUUACUAGGCUGUAACUGACGCUGAGGCACGAAAGUGUGGGGAUCAAACAGG